AACGCUAGCUACAGGCUUAACACAUGCAAGUCGAGGGGCAGCAUUAUCGAAGCUUGCUUUGAUAGAUGGCGACCGGCGCACGGGUGAGUAGCGCGUAUCCAACCUUCCCCAUAGUCAGGAAUAGCCCGGCGAAAGUCGAAUUAAUGCCUGAUGUUUUCCACGGACGGCAUCCGAUGUGGAACAAAGAUUCAUCGCUAUGGGAUGGGGAUGCGUCUGAUUAGCUUGUUGGCGGGGUAACGGCCCACCAAGGCAACGAUCAGUAGGGGUUCUGAGAGGAAGGUCCCCCACAUUGGAACUGAGACACGGUCCAAACUCCUACGGGAGGCAGCAGUGAGGAAUAUUGGUCAAUGGACGAGAGUCUGAACCAGCCAAGUAGCGUGAAGGAUGACUGCCCUAUGGGUUGUAAACUUCUUUUAUACGGGAAUAAAGUGAGGCACGUGUGCCUUUUUGUAUGUACCGUAUGAAUAAGGAUCGGCUAACUCCGUGCCAGCAGCCGCGGUAAUACGGAGGAUCCGAGCGUUAUCCGGAUUUAUUGGGUUUAAAGGGAGCGUAGGCGGACGCUUAAGUCAGUUGUGAAAGUUUGCGGCUCAACCGUAAAAUUGCAGUUGAUACUGGGUGUCUUGAGUACAGUAGAGGCAGGCGGAAUUCGUGGUGUAGCGGUGAAAUGCUUAGAUAUCACGAAGAACUCCGAUUG
This 694-nucleotide ribosomal RNA is filed under the name uncultured bacterium. Its description in RNAcentral is "bacterial SSU rRNA". It matches the Rfam family "Bacterial small subunit ribosomal RNA", at positions 32 to 715 of the family's 1533-position model. The record is from RNAcentral.